Molecule: unclassified non-coding RNA, 329 nt
Filed under: soil metagenome
Description: partial contains 5.8S ribosomal RNA, internal transcribed spacer 2, and large subunit ribosomal RNA
Rfam family: 5.8S ribosomal RNA (bases 1-120)
Source: RNAcentral
GAUGAAGAACGUAGCGAAAUGCGAUAAGUAAUGUGAAUUGCAGAAUCCAGUGAAUCAUCGAAUCUUUGAACGCACAUUGCGCCCCCUGGUAUUCCGGGGGGCAUGCCUGUCCGAGCGUCAUUACAACCCUCAAGCUCAGCUUGGUAUUGGGCCCCGCCGCUCCGGCGGGCCCUAAAGUCAGUGGCGGUGCCGUCCGGCUCCGAGCGUAGUAAUUCUUCUCGCUCUGGAGGUCCGGUCGUGUGCUCGCCAGCAACCCCCAAUUUUUUUCAGGUUGACCUCGGAUCAGGUAGGGAUACCCGCUGAACUUAAGCAUAUCAAUAAGCGGAGGA